GUGCUCACUUUGGCAGCACGUAUACUAAAAGUGGAAUGAUACAGAGAAGAUUAGCAUGGCCCCUGCACAAGGAUGAUAUGCAAAUUCAUGAAGCGUUCCCUACUUUU
Molecule: small nuclear RNA, 107 nt
Filed under: Jaculus jaculus (lesser Egyptian jerboa)
Lineage: Eukaryota; Metazoa; Chordata; Mammalia; Rodentia; Dipodidae
Source: RNAcentral